RNAcentral lists this ribosomal RNA (897 nucleotides) under Pseudothielavia terricola. RNAcentral describes it as "partial large subunit ribosomal RNA". It matches the Rfam family "Eukaryotic large subunit ribosomal RNA", at positions 38 to 966 of the family's 3401-position model. Lineage: Eukaryota; Fungi; Ascomycota; Sordariomycetes; Sordariales; Chaetomiaceae. The record is from RNAcentral.
GCAUAUCAAUAAGCGGAGGAAAAGAAACCAACAGGGAUUGCCCUAGUAACGGCGAGUGAAGCGGCAACAGCUCAAAUUUGAAAUCUGGCUUCGGCCCGAGUUUGUAAUUUGCAGAGGAAGCUUUAGGCGCGGCACCUCCUGAGUCCCCUGGAACGGGGCGCCACAGAGGGUGAGAGCCCCGUAUAGUUGGAUGCCUAGCCUGUGUAAAGCUCCUUCGACGAGUCGAGUAGUUUGGGAAUGCUGCUCAAAAUGGGAGGUAAAUUUCUUCUAAAGCUAAAUACCGGCCAGAGACCGAUAGCGCACAAGUAGAGUGAUCGAAAGAUGAAAAGCACUUUGAAAAGAGGGUUAAAUAGCACGUGAAAUUGUUGAAAGGGAAGCGCUUGUGACCAGACUUGCGCCGGGCUGAUCAUCCGGUGUUCUCACCGGUGCACUCUGCCCGGCUCAGGCCAGCAUCGGUUCUCGCGGGGGGAUAAAGGCCCUGGGAACGUAGCUCCUCCGGGAGUGUUAUAGCCCGGGGCGCAAUGCCCUCGCGGGGACCGAGGUUCGCGCUCUGCAAGGAUGCUGGCGUAAUGGUCAUCAGCGACCCGUCUUGAAACACGGACCAAGGAGUCAAGGUUUUGCGCGAGUGUUUGGGUGUAAAACCCGCACGCGUAAUGAAAGUGAACGUAGGUGAGAGCUUCGGCGCAUCAUCGACCGAUCCUGAUGUUCUCGGAUGGAUUUGAGUAGGAGCGUUAAGCCUUGGACCCGAAAGAUGGUGAACUAUGCUUGGAUAGGGUGAAGCCAGAGGAAACUACUGGUGGAGGCUCGCAGCGGUUCUGACGUGCAAAUCGAUCGUCAAAUCUGAGCAUGGGGGGCGAAAGACUAAUCGAACCAUCUAGUAGCUGGUUACCGCCGAAG